GCCCAUAUCACGUUGCAACAACGGUUCUCGUACGAUUACCGAAGUUAAGUAACGUCGAGACUGGAUAGUACCUGGAUGGGUGACCGCUUGGGGAUACUAGGUGCUGUAA
Non-coding RNA from Acanthosepion pharaonis, 109 nucleotides. The record is from the annotation of a GenBank genome assembly. Lineage: Eukaryota; Metazoa; Mollusca; Cephalopoda; Sepiida; Sepiidae.